RNAcentral lists this transfer RNA (59 nucleotides) under Marmota marmota marmota (Alpine marmot). It matches the Rfam family "tRNA", at positions 7 to 64 of the family's 71-position model. Rfam says of the family: Transfer RNA (tRNA) molecules are approximately 80 nucleotides in length. The record is from Rfam by way of RNAcentral. Lineage: Eukaryota; Metazoa; Chordata; Mammalia; Rodentia; Sciuridae. RNAcentral also lists the same sequence under 2 other names.
GUAGCUCAGUGGUAGAGCACUUGUCUUGCAUGCAUGAGGUCCUGGGUUCAAUCCCCAGC